This 196-nucleotide non-coding RNA is filed under the name Acetohalobium arabaticum. RNAcentral also lists the same sequence under 1 other name. Lineage: Bacteria; Bacillati; Bacillota; Clostridia; Halanaerobiales; Halobacteroidaceae. The record is from RNAcentral.
AUAAUAUCGUAGUGGUUAGGUGCUCUUAGCUACGGUUAAGAGUGAAUAGGGAAUCAGGUGUAAAUCCUGAACGGGUCCGCCGCUGUAAUCGGUAUGUUAGACUCAGAAUACCACUUGCAUAUGUUGAGUAUUCAGGGAAGGUAGAGGCUAACAGUAAGCCGAAAGUCAGAAGACCUGCCUAAUCAUUACCUACUGA